ACAAAGAGACAAAGAGACAAAGAGGAAUGACUCCAAACAGGAAAACCUCGACCACGACAGACUGAGGCAGCCGUCUGCCUCGAGUGACACCUGGUUCGCUGUUUGUGUGCAGCUCUGUCUCUUAUGUGAGGACAGUGGACAUGUCCUCAUAAGUGUAGACGCACUAGUCCCUCUUCUCUCCGUACGAUAUGAUACGACACUGCAGUAUUUUCUGCUCGAGUCCCUGCAGAUCAGCCGACAGGCUGACGGGUGGUGGUGCUGGUGUGUCUGGAGGGAGACAGUCUGCGUGAGACGUCUGUCAUCAUUUUGUCGGGGCUGUAUAAAUGCAAAAAUCUGGCUGCUUCGUCUUCUGCUAACGUCCGUUAACCAGACGGCGAGCCCCGAGCAGACACAGAGGGCCGCGGGUCGACGGGCGGGAGGAUGCUGGAUGUCGUGUCACGGAGACGGUAGCUGUCACUUUGUGGACCAGUCUCAAAAUGCUGCAGGGUCAGUCUGUCUGAGCAGGACUACACAAACACUGCUGGCUGCCACCACGAGGAAACUUUAUUUCCUGCAGGACAGAGACAGAGGUGGACAAGGACGGACAGUCUGCUGUUCCCUGUCCAACACUUGUUAAUCAUCACAAUCCUUCAGAGUGACCUUUGGCCAACAUGACAGACAAACUGUCUUUUAACGGAGACGGACGCUGCAUUCUCCUCCCAGUCUGUCUCUGGCACAGCAGGAUCUUAUAUCAGCUGAUUGACAGCAGCUUGGUUUGGUCAGCCCCAAAGAUCCUCAGACACGAAUCCGGAAGAAGAGCAGACAAUGCAGGAGACAUUGGUCACAGAUGAAGGAAGUGAAGGAGACUUCUUUGUCCUGUGUCUCCUCCAUGUGGACAUUUGGUUUUACUGCAUGCUGCCGCCUCAUUUAUGUCCCAGCAACAUUAACGUGGAGUUAUUUUUGUUUCAAACUUAAUUUCUGAAUUAGUUUUCUGGUCAAGGUGACAGCAGGCGUGAGGAAAUGACUCUGGACAUACGUCUGCUGUAGGUGAACACAUUUUCACUAUAAAGACAGACAGCGGACGGUCUUGGAUUCAAGAACCAACAACGCCAUGGACGUUCUUCUCUUCACCACGAGCUCCAGGAUCUGACCUGGGUCUGAACACAGGAAGUGUUUUCACCUUUCCUCCAUGAUGUUAUCCAGACACAAAGAACGUUCAGCCUCAGUGUUUCUUGUGUUGGACUUUGGAUCAUUGGAUUUAUGUUGGAUUAGUUUGUUUUUACCUGAUUAAAGUUCUGUUCACUCUG
Molecule: long non-coding RNA, 1286 nt
Organism: Larimichthys crocea (large yellow croaker)
Lineage: Eukaryota; Metazoa; Chordata; Actinopteri; Sciaenidae
Exons: 2
Source: RefSeq, a predicted model, not a curated record